GAUGAACGCUAGCUACAGGCUUAACACAUGCAAGUCGAGGGGAAACGAUAUUGGAAGCUUGCUUCCGAUAGGCGUCGACCGGCGCACGGGUGAGUAACGCGUAUCCAACCUGCCCACCACUUGGGGAUAACCUUGCGAAAGUAAGACUAAUACCCAAUGAUAUCUCUAGAAGACAUCUGAAGGAGAUUAAAGAUUUAUCGGUGAUGGAUGGGGAUGCGUCUGAUUAGCUUGUUGGCGGGGUAACGGCCCACCAAGGCGACGAUCAGUAGGGGUUCUGAGAGGAAGGUCCCCCACAUUGGAACUGAGAUACGGUCCAAACUCCUACGGGAGGCAGCAGUGAGGAAUAUUGGUCAAUGGGCGAGAGCCUGAACCAGCCAAGUAGCGUGCAGGAUGACGGCCCUAUGGGUUGUAAACUGCUUUUAUAAGGGAAUAAAGUGAGCCUCGUGAGGCUUUUUGCAUGUACCUUAUGAAUAAGGACCGGCUAAUUCCGUGCCAGCCGCCGCCGUAA
Molecule: ribosomal RNA, 508 nt
Filed under: uncultured bacterium
Lineage: Bacteria
Description: partial 16S ribosomal RNA
Rfam family: Bacterial small subunit ribosomal RNA
Source: RNAcentral